AACUUACAUUUCGUAGAAAUCUUCGAAAACUGGACGGCAGAUGAAGCACAAAGUAUGCGCACUGUCUUUCACUACGUUUUCGAACUUUGAUAAUCAAACACGAAACGUCGAACCUCGGCGAAUAAGCGACGGUUACGAAUUUCGUAUGAAAAAAAUCAAAUCAGACAGCAAAAACAGCAAACAGCUACGAUGUUUUGAGUCUGACUGAAGGUAGUGCAGUUGUGUGGGAGCCUUUUAUAACCGCGGUGUGGGUUGGGCAUCGUGGCAAUCGUCGAACGGCGCGGUAGUGGGGAGAGAGGAAAGCUGAGGCAGAAAACCCCCAUCUGCGCAAAUUGGUUGUGUGCGGACACACUGGAGGAGCAGGGAUUCUCCGCGCGUGGCGCCGGCGUGUACGAACACAUGUUCAUAAAUAAAUAAUGAACGGCUCGUACGAUAACGAAUCUUAUCGCUGUUGAAUUUUAGAGAUUCGAUGAUGCCCAUGAAGAAGACGUAGAAAUUUUACUGAUCUUUGUAUCUUUCAAGAAUAACGAUCGUUUAAAAAUAUACAUAUAUUUUAUAAUAUUAAAAUUUCAAACUAUAAUUUUAUACGUUUGAUGUAAAGCGAUGUUAUAAGAAUAAGGAAAACAUACUUGACAAACUUUUAUAUAGUUACAGAUGUUGCAGGGGAACAAGGAAUGCAAUCAAAGACAAAAAGAUCUCCCACGCAGCAGGAUGUAAGAACCCCAGGAAACGAAAGGCAGUGUCACGUGUGCACACACCCCGCCAAAUUAUGCGGAAAAAAAGAAAAGCGUAGGUUUAUCUUUAACGUUAAAAUGUCACCGCCCUCGGUGUUGCAUUCAUAAGCGGGCAUACGUCAAGCCACCUUUUGCAGAUUAGACGCGGCAGGGAUUCUCAAAUUCAGCAAUGCGCUAUUGGUUAUCUAUCGAUUUCUUGUCUUUAUGCUUUCUGCGCUAAAUGAACGAACAAAAAAAAGAAAACACGCGUGAUCAUUCUUAAAUUCCAUAAAAUAAAAUCCAUAAUAUAAAAAUUAAAAAUUAAUUUAAAUUUAAGCUUAAUUGGCCAUUAAAGCAUUUAAGAAAUCAAAUUAUCCGGCUCCUUAAAAUUAUAAUAUUUAGAGUUCAAGACAAGGUAUAUUUUCAUCGUUUUUGCUUUUCUUUAUUCUAUCUUAACAUUUUUUUUUAUAACUUUUCUUUUUAAUUUAACAUUCAUUAGAUAUUUUGGAAUUUUAAAUAUUCUUUCAAUGUUUUUGUUAAUAUCGUAUACAAUUGAUUAUAUUUAUAUUUUGAUUAAAUUCCUACACUACAUUGAACUCUAUUAAAAUGCAAUUAAUCGAUUCUGAAAUUACGAAAACGAUAUUCAAUAUGACUUAAAGAAAUAGUAAUGCUUAAUAUCAAGGAAUUAGUUUUCGUUCAAUUUUUUAAAUUUUUUGUAAAAUUUUAUACACGUACUAUUUACAAAGAUCGAAAUUUUAUUCUGGCCUAUUGUUUCCAAUGCAAAUAUCAAUUUUAGUCAUUUUCAAUGUAAAUAUUAAAUCUUCAGUAAUAUUUUCAAACUAGAUCAACAGGUAAAUAUGAAUUUUUCAAUUUUUUUCAAUUUAUCGAAUUAAUAUUGAGAAAUACAUAAUAGAAUAGAAUUAUGAUACAUAGAAAAUCAUUGUAUCAUUAAUUUUUCAUUAUUCUUACUCUCUUAAUAACAUAUAAAAUUUUUUAAAUUAAAUUUAUAUAAUUUUAAAUUCUAUACUUUCUAUGAUAAAUUACUUUUCCUUAAAUUUUUAAAUUUUGUAACGAAGAUUCAAUAAUAAUUUUACAAAUAUCGAUUCUUACGAUAUUAAUGUUUCUUUUUAGAACGAAGAAUGAUUUUUGAAAUAAUUUUUGAGUUCAUUUUUCGUCAAAAUUCUUCGAAAUAUAUUGCUUUAAAAAAACCUGAGAUAGUAUUAAUGAUUAAUAAAAAUGGGAAAGUAUGAGAACGUAAUAUUAACAAUCUUGUCUUUAAUAAGUAAGGAAUUUUAAGAUAAGAAAUCGGAAAUGCUGAUUAUCAACAAGAUAUAUAAUCAUUAAAUCGAUUAUUAAAAAAAAAAAUCGAUUUUCGAUAUUUUUGACAUUUUCGAUAAAAGUAAUGGUGAAAAGAUAAAAUAAAAUAUUAAAAAAAAUUUUGUAAUUAUAACAAAUAUUUAUUAUAUUUAUCAUAAACUCGAGACAUUAAAAAAUGUCGUUAAGAUGUACAUAUACAUUUUAUGUAAUUAUUUUUUUAAUCUUUUCUUAUCUUUUAAUCUGCUUCAUGAAAUUUACAUCCCACUAAACAGAUAUUCAUGUAAAUUUAACGUUCCAUAACACGAUGGUCUCGUUUAAAAACCAUGUUAAUUAAAGAACCUAUUAAGUCGGUCAAAAAGUUUGUAUCAUAUCUUCUUCGUAAUAAUCUCAGAUAUAAAGGUAAAAAUAAGAUAAAAAAUUUCUAAAUAACAGACUUUCCCAAUAUUACUUUUCAAAUUUUUUUUUUAAACUCAUCAAUGAAUCGAAUAUUUAAUUUAUUUCUAUAAUAUACCUUAUUACUUGCUUGAGAAAAAGAAAACGUAUUACAUUUAAUCACAGUAAUGAAAAGAAAUUUAAAAAAAAAAUCUCUAAAAUUGUAAAAGCAUAGGAAAGAAAUUUAUCUAUUAUAUACCUUCGUUAACCUUUCCUCCAAUCCAUCCAUAUAAAUAUAUUUCACGAAAUAUUCUACCAAAAAUAACAUUCGUAUGAAUGAAUUUUUCGGGAUUCGUAUCUUUUUCUUUUUUUUUUUUUUCUUUUCCACCUGCGCGAUAUUCACGUAUCUCGUCAUAAAUUCCACGCAUCUUGUCGCCAAGAAGAAAAAUUCGAAUGCUCGAAUUUAAUUCAAGCACCGACUUGUUCAUGACACGAAACAGCCGACGAUGUAUUUUAAAAUCAAUUUUAAAAUCAUUUUAAAAUCGUGACUAUACGGAAAUUCGGAUGAUACAAGCAGCUAAACUCGAAUAUUUGAAUAAGCGUCCUGAUUUAUUUAUAACGUAAUAUAUAUCUAAGAGAGGACCACUUUAUGCGCGGAUGAAUAUCGAAUGCUUCGUUCGUGUUCACGCCGUUUUGAAUGUAAUUAAAUAAAAAAAGGAGAUCUUGAUUCAAAUUCGAAUUUAUACGUAUAAAAAGAUACGUAAGAAAUACGAGUGUAUUCAAAGGAGUGCACUUAUGCAUGUGGAUUAUUUUAAACUGAUUCAUAAUCGGCGUACGUGUACGUAUACACAUGUACGCAGUUAUCUCUGAUCGUAUUGAGUCGAGCAAUGAACAAUUCACUGGCCGAAUCGUGGGCGUUCUCGAUUCGAACGUUCGCCUCGUUCACUUUGUGGAAAAUGUAAGCGAGAAAAAUGUCCAAGUUCAAUUGAUGUACGCAAAUAUUUGAUAAAUCGAGCACGAUGAUGAUAAUUUCGUUUCAUAAAGCGCGUGGAUAAAUAUAUCGAUGUAAAAUGAAAGAAAGAGAGAGAUUCUCGUGGUCGUUAAUUUUAAUUGACUAUUCGGAUCAAAUAUUUGUUUGAAGAGUUAUAAUACUGAUAUAACAUACGUGUUUCGCAAAAAUUUAAACACGAUGAUGCAAUUAAUAAUAAUAAUCUGUUAUUUCAAUAACAAUUAAUAAUUUGUAUUCGUUUCGAUAAUAAAUAUAUAUAUAUUUAAA
This is a long non-coding RNA of Apis cerana (Asiatic honeybee), 3678 nucleotides long. RefSeq lists it as uncharacterized. NCBI's taxonomy places the organism in Eukaryota, Metazoa, Arthropoda, Insecta, Hymenoptera, Apidae. The record is from RefSeq and is a predicted model, not a curated record.